AAACUGUAAGAUCUUUUUGUUCUCAAAAGUUAUAUUACAUCAAGAAGUUAUAAAAACCCAUCUCUCACUUGUGCUAAAGAGUAAUUCGUACAUGCCCAAGCCACUGUAUAAACUUUAUCCAUACAAAGAAUAAUACAUACAAAAGGUGGAAAACAAGCAGAAACAACAGCAGCACUCACCAUGCCACUGCCUCCAUAGCUGCCCAAUUUUACUCAGAUGAUCUCGGCCUGCCUCUCUAAAACUUUCAACAUAAACAAAACUAGGCCAUAGACAUGCAUCAGAUAUGAACAACACUUCCCUGAUACAACAGAAAACUC
This 317-nucleotide unclassified non-coding RNA is filed under the name Hevea brasiliensis (rubber tree). Lineage: Eukaryota; Viridiplantae; Streptophyta; Magnoliopsida; Malpighiales; Euphorbiaceae. The record is from RNAcentral.